ACACAGAAAUGCAGAUACCAACCAGCAGCAAAUAUACUUGAAAUCUUCAAUUAACGUUCAAAUAUGACUUUGUAGUUCAAGGAGAAGAAAAUACCCUGAUAUUGCAAAGAAGUCUAUGAAUCUAAGACAAGAUUUCUAAAUUUAUGAAGUUUUUAAGCUUUUUUCCCCUUUCUUUUCUUGAGCUCUAUUUGGUGUUUAACUUUUGAAUCCAAGAUAUUUCUCUGGAUGGGCAAUUUUCUCUCAAUUUUAUUACAG
RNAcentral lists this unclassified non-coding RNA (255 nucleotides) under Hevea brasiliensis (rubber tree). Lineage: Eukaryota; Viridiplantae; Streptophyta; Magnoliopsida; Malpighiales; Euphorbiaceae. The record is from RNAcentral.